GUGCUCACUUUGGCAGCACAUAUACUGAAAUUAGAACAAUACAGAGAAGAUUUGCAUGGUCCCUGUGCAAGGAUGACAUGCAAAUUUGUGAAUCACUUCAUACUUUU
This is a small nuclear RNA of Apodemus sylvaticus (European woodmouse), 107 nucleotides long. Lineage: Eukaryota; Metazoa; Chordata; Mammalia; Rodentia; Muridae. The record is from RefSeq and is a predicted model, not a curated record.